RNAcentral lists this unclassified non-coding RNA (1103 nucleotides) under Hevea brasiliensis (rubber tree). The record is from RNAcentral. Lineage: Eukaryota; Viridiplantae; Streptophyta; Magnoliopsida; Malpighiales; Euphorbiaceae.
UUCACUCUCCAUUAUCUCCUGCAAUGGCGUCCAUCGCCGCUCAUGGUCUCGCAAUACCAGUCAACCGUUCUCACCGCCGGCUCAAUUCAGCUAAUACAACUACCGGUACCUCUGUCACUGCUGCUUCACUCCAUCCCCUUACAAUCAAGUCAAAACUACCGUCAUUUUCAUCUUCGCAAAACCCUAAACCCUCAUCCUCAAACACCCGUGACAAUUCUAACAUUUUUGCCUCAAAACAGCUCCAAAAUGUGGUGAAAACCUCCGCCGCCAUUGGUGCUGGUUUUUACGCGCUCUCUAGUGGUGUGUCUGAUGUUCUCCUCAGUGGGAACGGUGGUGGUGGAUCCGGAAGAGGUGGUUCUGGCGGUGGCGGCGGAGGCGGUGGAGAUAGUUUCUGGUCGAAGAUUUUCUCUCCUGCCGCGAUUGCAGGAGAAGAGGAAUCACAGGAAUGGGAUUCGCAUGGAUUGCCGGCGAAUAUUGUGGUACAGCUGAACAAGCUCAGUGGGUUUAAGAAGUAUAAGGUUUCCGACAUCCUUUUCUUCGACCGCCGUCGUGGGUCGACGGUUGGGACGGAGGAUUCGUUCUUCGAAAUGCUAUCCUUGCGGCCAGGUGGUGUUUACACAAAGGCGCAGCUCCAAAAAGAGCUAGAAACGCUAGCAACCAGUGGAAUGUUUGAAAAAGUUGAUCUUGAUGCGAAGACUAACCCUGAUGGGACAGUCGGGGUCACUAUAUCCUUCUUGGAAAGCACUUGGCAGUCAGCUGAUAAAUUUAGGUGUAUCAAUGUUGGGUUAAUGCCACAGUCGAAACCCAUAGAGAUGGAUGCGGACAUGACGGAGAAGGAGAAAUUGGAGUAUUUUAAUAGCCAGGAGCAGGAUUAUAGGAGGAGGAUAGAAAGGUCUAGGCCAUGUUUGUUGCCGGUGUCGGUGCAAAGGGAAAUUUUGCAGCUGUUGAGGGAGAAAGGAACAGUUAGUGCCAGAUUGCUGCAGAAGAUUAGGGAUAAAGUGCAGCAGUGGUAUCAUGACAAUGGAUAUGCUUGUGCUCAAGUAGUUAACUUUGGGAAUUUGAAUACAAAGGAGGUUGUUUGUGAGGUGGUGGAAGGGGAUAUU